GAGGUUGUGGCUCAGUGGUAGAGCACUCACCUAGCACUUGCGAGGCCCUGGGUUCAAUCCUCAGCACCACA
This 71-nucleotide transfer RNA is filed under the name Marmota monax (woodchuck). RNAcentral's name for it is "tRNA.Ala". The record is from RNAcentral. Lineage: Eukaryota; Metazoa; Chordata; Mammalia; Rodentia; Sciuridae.